RNAcentral lists this small nuclear RNA (107 nucleotides) under Microcebus murinus (gray mouse lemur). The record is from RNAcentral. Lineage: Eukaryota; Metazoa; Chordata; Mammalia; Primates; Cheirogaleidae.
GUGUUCCCUUUGGCAGCACAUAUAUUAAAAUUGGAAUAAUAUAGAGAAGGUUAACAUGUCCCCUGUCCAAGGUUGGCAUGAAAAUUUGUGAAAUAUUCCGUAUUUUU